This 450-nucleotide ribosomal RNA is filed under the name uncultured bacterium. RNAcentral describes it as "bacterial SSU rRNA". It matches the Rfam family "Bacterial small subunit ribosomal RNA", at positions 29 to 524 of the family's 1533-position model. The record is from RNAcentral.
AACGAACGCUGGCGGCAUGCCUAACACAUGCAAGUCGAACGAAGCCUUCGGGCUUAGUGGCGCACGGGUGCGUAACGCGUGGGAAUCUGCCCUUGGGUUCGGAAUAACAGUUAGAAAUGACUGCUAACACCGAAUGAUGUCUUCGGACCAAAGAUUUAUCGCCCAAGGAUGAGCCCGCGUCGGAUUAGCUAGUUGGUGAGGUAAAGGCUCACCAAGGCGACGACCCGUAGCCGGUCUGAGAGGAUGAUCAGCCACACUGGGACUGAGACACGGCCCAGACUCCUACGGGAGGCAGCAGUGGGGAAUAUUGGACAAUGGGCGAAAGCCUGAUCCAGCAAUGCCGCGUGAGUGAUGAAGGCCUUAGGGUUGUAAAGCUCUUUUACCCGAGAUGAUAAUGACAGUAUCGGGAGAAUAAGCUCCGGCUAACUCCGUGCCAGCAGCCGCGGUAAU